RNAcentral lists this ribosomal RNA (439 nucleotides) under uncultured bacterium. RNAcentral describes it as "partial 16S ribosomal RNA". It matches the Rfam family "Bacterial small subunit ribosomal RNA", at positions 338 to 795 of the family's 1533-position model. The record is from RNAcentral.
CCUACGGGAGGCAGCAGUGGGGAAUAUUGCACAAUGGGGGAAACCCUGAUGCAGCGACGCCGCGUGAGUGAAGAAGUCAUUCGUUAUGUAAAGCUCUAUCAGCAGGGAAGAAAAUGACGGUACCUGAGUAAGAAGCCCCGGCUAACUACGUGCCAGCAGCCGCGGUACUACGUAGGGGGCAAGCGUUAUCCGGAUUUACUGGGUGUAAAGGGAGCGUAGACGGCAGGGCAAGUCUGGAGUGAAAGGCGGGGCUCAAACCCCGGACUGCUCUGGAAACUGUACGGCUGGAGUGCAGGAGAGGUAAGUGGAAUUCCUAGUGUAGCGGUGAAAUGCGUAGAUAUUAGGAGGAACACCAGUGGCGAAGGCGGCUUACUGGACUGUAACUGACGUUGAGGCUCGAAGGCGUGGGGAGCAAACAGGAUUAGAUACCCUUGUAGUC